Molecule: unclassified non-coding RNA, 500 nt
Filed under: uncultured Glomus
Lineage: Eukaryota; Fungi; Glomeromycota; Glomeromycetes; Glomerales; Glomeraceae
Description: SSU rRNA
Rfam family: Eukaryotic small subunit ribosomal RNA
Source: RNAcentral
CCAAUAGCGUAUAUUAAAGUUGUUGCAGUUAAAAAGCUCGUAGUUGAAUUUCGGGACCAAUCUGCCGGACGUGCCUCCGGUACGCACUGGUUUUAUUGGUUUCUCCCUUCUGACGAACCAUGAUGUCAUUAAUUUGGUGUCAUGGGGAAUCAGGACUGUUACUUUGAAAAAAUUAGAGUGUUUAUAGCAGGCUCACGCUUGAAUACAUUAGCAUGGAAUAAUGAAAUAGGACGUUUGACCCUAUUUUGUUGGUUUCUAGGAUCGACGUAAUGAUUAAUAGGGAUAGUUGGGGGCAUUAGUAUUCAAUUGUCAGAGGUGAAAUUCUUGGAUUUAUUUAAGACUAACUACUGCGAAAGCAUUUGCCAAGGAUGUUUUCAUUAAUCAAGAACGAAAGUUAGGGGAUCGAAGACGAUCAGAUACCGUCGUAGUCUUAACCAUAAACUAUGCCGACUAGGGAUCGGAUGAUGUUAAUUUUUUAAUGACUCAUUCGGCGCCUUACG